GUCUACGGCCAUGCCACUCUGAACACGCCUGAUUUCGUCUGAUCUCAGAAGCUAAGCAGGGUCAGGCCUGGUUAGUACUUGGAUAAGAGACCACCUAGGAAUAUCAGGUGCUAUAGGCU
Molecule: ribosomal RNA, 119 nt
Filed under: Pteropus alecto (black flying fox)
Lineage: Eukaryota; Metazoa; Chordata; Mammalia; Chiroptera; Pteropodidae
Source: RNAcentral